This 468-nucleotide ribosomal RNA is filed under the name uncultured bacterium. Its description in RNAcentral is "partial 16S ribosomal RNA". It matches the Rfam family "Bacterial small subunit ribosomal RNA", at positions 28 to 507 of the family's 1533-position model. The record is from RNAcentral.
GACGAACGCUGGCGGCGUGCUUAACACAUGCAAGUCGAACGGAAAGGCCCUGCUUUUGUGGGGUGCUCGAGUGGCGAACGGGUGAGUAACACGUGAGUAACCUGCCCUUGACUUUGGGAUAACUUCAGGAAACUGGGGCUAAUACCGGAUAGGAGCUCCUGCUGCAUGGUGGGGGUUGGAAAGUUUCGGCGGUUGGGGAUGGACUCGCGGCUUAUCAGCUUGGUGGUGGGGUAGUGGCUUACCAAGGCUUUGACGGGUAGCCGGCCUGAGAGGGUGACCGGCCACAUUGGGACUGCGAUACGGCGCAGACUCCUACGGGAGGCAGCAGUGGGGAAUAUUGCACAAUGGGCGGAAGCCUGAUGCAGCAACGCCGCGUGCGGGAUGACGGCCUUCGGGUUGUAAACCGCUUUCGCCUGUGACGAAGCGUGAGUGACGGUAAUGGGUAAAGAAGCACCGGCUAACUACGUG